Molecule: ribosomal RNA, 403 nt
Filed under: uncultured Eubacteriales bacterium
Lineage: Bacteria; Bacillati; Bacillota; Clostridia; Eubacteriales
Description: bacterial SSU rRNA
Rfam family: Bacterial small subunit ribosomal RNA
Source: RNAcentral
GGGGAAUAUUGCACAAUGGGCGAAAGCCUGAUGCAGCAACGCCGCGUGAGUGAUGAAGGCCUUCGGGUCGUAAAACUCUGUCCUUGGUGACGAAAAAAUGACGGUACCAGAGGAGGAAGCCACGGCUAACUACGUGCCAGCAGCCGCGGUAAUACGUAGGUGGCGAGCGUUGUCCGGAUUUACUGGGCGUAAAGGGUGCGUAGGCGGAUAUUUAAGUCAGAUGUGAAAACCCCGGGCUUAACUUGGGGACUGCAUUUGAAACUGGAUAUCUAGAGUGCAGGAGAGGUAAUCGGAAUUCCUUGUGUAGCGGUGAAAUGCGUAGAUAUAAGGAAGAACACCAGUGGCGAAGGCGGAUUACUGGACGACAACUGACGGUGAGGCGCGAAAGCGUGGGGAGCAAACA